UAAUAUUUAAUAGUAUUCACGAUUUUAUUUCUAAACAAUAUUCUAUAACAGAAAAUAUGUAUCUUAUCUAACAGAAAAAUAUGUUGGUUUUAAUAUUUAAUAUUAUUUGUUACAAAGAAAAUUAUUUUGUUUCAUGGAGUUUUUUACCAACACUGCGAAAGUUAAUACUUAUUAUACAGUCUAAUGUACAUUUAUUAGAAUAAGAUGAAGACAAAUAAGAAAACGAAGAUAAACCAGAAGACUUCUUUACAAGCUAAUGUUUAUUUAUUCAAUAUAAUGUGAAAAUAAAUAAAUAAAAAGAUGAAGAUAAGCGAAAGAAAAACUCGAAGAGUAAUAUAACUAAAAGAUGGAUACAAUGAAUAAUGAGAGGGAAGAAAGUCUGGAAGAAAAAAUAAAAAAGAAGUCGGAGGAGACGAACACGAUGAAGAAGUACAAGAAAAAACGGAAGAAAGAAAGAAAAAAAAAAGAAGUAGAAGAAUAAGAGGAAAAAAAUCAAAACAUAAAGAAAAAUACAAAGUUAAUGACAAAGAAGUUAAAAAAACGAGAAAAAAAACAAACAAAAAGUUGUGAUUAAGAAGAAGAAAAGAGACAGUGUUGAAGAAGACAAGAAUAAGGUGAAUAGGAAAAGAGAUGAAGAAAAAAGAGUAGAAGAAGAAGAAUGUGGAUAAAGAAGUCUAAUAAAAACUAAAAGAAGUACAAGAAAAAAAAAACUCAAAGAAUACAAAAUGAUGAUGAAGAAUUCAAAGAUGAUGAAAUAGAAGUAGGAAAGUAUGUG
This 775-nucleotide long non-coding RNA is filed under the name Eutrema salsugineum. Its description in RNAcentral is "long non-coding RNA (ESAL_LNC000160)". The record is from RNAcentral. Lineage: Eukaryota; Viridiplantae; Streptophyta; Magnoliopsida; Brassicales; Brassicaceae.